GGAGGGAUGGCAGAGUCCGGUUGAUUGCACUGGUCUUGAAAACCAGCGUGCCUACGGGUACCGGGGGUUCGAAUCCCUCUCCCUCCGCCA
This 90-nucleotide transfer RNA is filed under the name Deltaproteobacteria bacterium ADurb.Bin510. RNAcentral's name for it is "tRNA-Ser". It matches the Rfam family "tRNA". Rfam says of the family: Transfer RNA (tRNA) molecules are approximately 80 nucleotides in length. Lineage: Bacteria; Deltaproteobacteria. The record is from RNAcentral.